UACUAUGGAGAGUUUGAUCCUGGCUCAGGAUGAACGCUGGCGGUAUGCUUAACACAUGCAAGUCGAACGAGGAAAAUCUUAGGAUUUUUGGCAGUGGCGGACGGGUGCGUAACGCGUAAGAAUCUGCCUUUUGGAGGGGGAUAACUCGGGGAAACCCUUGCUAAUACCCCAUAAUGCUGAGAAGUUAAAGGUUAAUAACCACCAAAAGAGGAGCUUGCGUCUGAUUAGCUAGUUGGUGAGGUAAUAGCUUACCAAGGCCUUGAUCAGUAGCUGGUCUGAGAGGAUGAUCAGCCACACUGGGACUGAGAACGGCCCAGACUCCUACGGGAGGCAGCAGUGGGGAAUUUUUCGCAAUGGGCGCAAGCCUGACGAAGCCAUACCGCGUGGAGGAAGACGGCCCGUGGGUCUUAAACUCCUUUUCUCAGAGAAGAAGUUCUGACGGUAUCUGAGGAAUAAGCACCGGCUAACUCUGUGCCAGCAGCCGCGGUAAUACAGGGGGUGCAAGCGUUAUCCGGAAUGAUUGGGCGUAAAGGGUCUGUAGGUGGCUCGGGAAGUCCACUGUUAAAUCCCAGGGCUCAACCUUGGUCAAGCAGUGGAGAACUCCUAAGCUAGAGUUUGGUAGAGGAAGAGGGAAUUCCCAGUGGAACGGUGAAAUGUAUAGAGAUUGGGAAGAACACCAGCGGCGAAAGCGCUCUUCUGGGCCAAGACUGACACUGAGAGACGAAAGCUGAGGGAGAGAAUAGGAUUAGAUACCCUAGUAUUCUCAGCCGUAAACGAUGGAUACUAAGUACUGUCAAAAACAGCGCUGUAGCUAACGCUUUAAGUAUCCCGCCUGGGGAGUACGCUCGCAAGAGUCAAACUCAAAGGAAUUGACGGGGAUCCACACCAUCGGUGGAGUAUGCGGUUUAAUAUGAUGCAACGCGUAGAACCUUACCAGGGAUUGACAUGCCAAGAAUUUUUUUGAAAGAGAAAAGUGCCAAUUCCACUAGGAGUUGGAGCUUGGACACAGGUGGUGCAUGGCUGUCGUCAGCUCGUGCCGUGAGGUGUAGAGUUAAGUCUCGCAACGAGCGCAACCCUUGUCUUUAGUUAGAUAGUCUAAAGAGACUGCCGGUGUAAACCGUGAGGAAGGAAAGGAUGACGUCAAGUCAGCAUGCCCCUUAAACCCUGGGCGACACGCGUACUACAAUGGCGAAGACAACGAGAAGCGAUCCUGCGAAGGCUAGCAAAUCUUUUAAACUUCGCCCCAGUUCGGAUUGGAGGCUGCAACUCGCCUCCAUGAAGCCGGAAUCGAUAGUAAUCGCUGAUCAGCCAUGCAGCGGUGAAUACACCCCUGGAUCUUGUCCACACCGCCCGUCAAACCAAUCGAGUGAAUUGGACCCCAAGUCGUUACCCCAACCUCUAGGAGGGGGAUGCCCAAGGUUUGGUUCGCGAGAAUGGUUAAGUCGUAACAAGGUAGCCCUACUGGAAGGUGGGGCUGGAUCAACUCCUUC
RNAcentral lists this ribosomal RNA (1490 nucleotides) under Parallela transversalis. RNAcentral's name for it is "SSU rRNA". It matches the Rfam family "Bacterial small subunit ribosomal RNA". The record is from RNAcentral. Lineage: Eukaryota; Viridiplantae; Chlorophyta; Chlorophyceae; Sphaeropleales; Sphaeropleaceae.